GAUUCUUGAAUCUUGGUCCGGCACUUAAUGAGUGCUGCGCUCAGGCACCAACCACCAAUAAUUGGCUGGUGGAGUCCUCGAUAUGAUCCGCCCACAUGUAUCAUCCUAUGGGAAAUUUUGUAAUGGAAGUCCCAGUUUCAAAUUUGCUAAUCGUUCAUAAAGCUCAUACAACACACUCGCUUCAUUAAGAAUCCCAUAUGCUAGGCUAUCAAUUUCGGAGCUGAGAAAAGUGCAUCAUUCCAUGUUCACGGCUUUGCUCUUCGGGGUAUUAAAAAUCAUGUGUACAACUGGCCCACCUGUGUUUGAAUAACAUCAGUGUGCUUCUUCUUCUUCUUCUUCUUCUUCUUCUUUGAUAGGAGCAUUUUGAUAUAAGAAGAGUUUUUUUUAAAAAAAAAAAAUCAUUCUUUAUUGCCUUAUUAUUUCAAACCUCGCAGCCUUUUGACAAAAUCGUUCUUAAAGUUACUUUACUAUUAGAAUUGUAAACGAGGGACAUCAACUCUCGUGGAAAAUACGUCUUCAUAUCCAGUCCG
This 530-nucleotide small RNA is filed under the name Histoplasma capsulatum. RNAcentral's name for it is "hypothetical RNA". Lineage: Eukaryota; Fungi; Ascomycota; Eurotiomycetes; Onygenales; Ajellomycetaceae. The record is from RNAcentral. RNAcentral also lists the same sequence under 1 other name.